Equus quagga is the source of this 783-nucleotide long non-coding RNA. RefSeq lists it as uncharacterized. The transcript has 2 exons. The record is from RefSeq and is a predicted model, not a curated record. Lineage: Eukaryota; Metazoa; Chordata; Mammalia; Perissodactyla; Equidae.
CAGGUAACCCCUGUCUCCAAGCCUCAGCUUUCUCACCUGUAAAAUAGGCGUGCUAAUGACAGGAUCUGCUUCCGAGGGUUCAGGAGGAUUAAAGGAGUUAACACGUAAAACACGCAGAACAGCGCUUGGCCCAUAACGUGCGCCCGGGGCCACUCUUAUCUACAAAAUGAGCGCAGCCAAUUCACAGUUUAGCUGGCGGAUUGGCUUGCCUUGGGGCCAGAUGCCCGGCCCCGUCCCGUCCCGGCAUCUCAGCAAACUGGCCACGAAGUGAGAAUUCCUGUAAAAAAAGCUUGCAUUUCCAGUCUCCUGUCGCAGUAUCAAAGUGAAAACAGAAAUUGGAGGUGAUUUUGUUGAGGUUUUUCGCGUUUCAUCAGAACUUCCGCUGGUCACAGAGGAACUGAAGGAAUGACCAACCCUGUGUUCCCCUGCGCUUUCCCCUUUUUCCCGUUCCAGAGCCUUUUUCCCACCUCUGUUUCCAAAUUCUGUCCUUCUUCUGAAUUCUCUCUUGGUUCCUCUCAUGUCUCUGCCCAGGACUUUUUUAUUCCUUUUUUCUUCCCAACCUCUAACAUUUUAAUGAAAAAAUGUAAGCAUACAGAAAAGUCAUAAAGAUGGUACAACGAUAGUUAUAUACCUUACACCUAGAUUCGAAAAUUCCCCUUUGCUAUAUUUGCUUUCUCUUUUUUCUUCCUCUCUUCUUUUCUCCCUCUCCUUGAGGAGAAUAAGAACAAUUCCCUACAGAACUCCAUACCAUUACUGCCCCUAAUAAAAUCAGCAGUAAUUCCA